ACGGUCCUUAUUUCCGGUUCCGGCGCAUGAGAGCUAGUGUUAGCCGUUUGGGCUUCUAGCGGACGUUCAAGUCAAAAAACUGACCACAGUGGCUACAUCUGAUUGAGUGAAAUGGUGACCAACGUGUGGAACAACUCGGUACCUACAAUGGACACAUGGGAUCUGGAUUGACUGUGACUGGGACAGCAGAAAUGUCUUGACAGGAUCAGCUGACAACAACUGUCAACUGUGAGACUGCGUGAUCGUGUCUGCCGCCAGAACACGCAGGUUCGAUUUCAGCGGCAUCAUCGUCAUGUUUUCCACAGAUGAGUGGAUGGGCCAUCGGUGUUUCAUGAACUUGUUCGACCUCAGGGAUCCACAGAUCGAGAAGUCCUGAAGAAAUCUAAGGAGCACAGCAGGCACAUCAACGACAUCCCGACGUCUGUAGACCUCACCAUGUUCAUCAGUGCCUCAAUGGACAACAUCACCAAGCUCUUUGAUCGGAGAACUCUGCCGCCAUUUCACCUAUCACGUAGUACUGGGCAGGAGGCCAUGGAAGUGACCACAACUUCCACCAGGAUUGGCAAGUUUGAGGCCAGAUGAGUUGAAGUGGAGUUUCCAGAGUAUUAUUGUUACUUGUUGUCUUCAUCCAAACAAAAGAAAGCGGUUCUUCCAAGCUGCGUACGAAGAGGAGUUUGGCCCCCAUCAACUGUGUGGCUUUCCACCCUGACGGCAAGAGGAGGAGAAGACUUGUGGACACAGCAGCUUGGACUCUGCCAGGUAGAGUGAACGAGCAACUUCAUUUGAAGCAGAUCAGUUGCUGGACUUGUGAGUAUUUUACUGAAAUGUCUAAUUGCCUUAAUGGUAUUGUUGUUUCAUUGUGAGGUGCAUUUGACUUAAGACUGUUGUAAACCGUCCAGAGUAAGUUUCUUCUAAAGGUAAAGAAACUUUUUGACUUUUUUGAGGUAAAAAUUCAUUGUGCCUUAAUGCUAUUGUGAAACAGUCACUUUCAUUGUGAGCUGUAUUUGACUGAAAAGACUGUUGUAAAUGUUCCAGAAUAAAGAAAAUUGUUGUAAACAC
Cynoglossus semilaevis (tongue sole) is the source of this 1059-nucleotide long non-coding RNA. RefSeq lists it as uncharacterized. NCBI's taxonomy places the organism in Eukaryota, Metazoa, Chordata, Actinopteri, Pleuronectiformes, Cynoglossidae. The record is from RefSeq and is a predicted model, not a curated record. The transcript has 9 exons.